Molecule: ribosomal RNA, 503 nt
Filed under: uncultured Rickettsiales bacterium
Lineage: Bacteria; Pseudomonadati; Pseudomonadota; Alphaproteobacteria; Rickettsiales
Description: bacterial SSU rRNA
Rfam family: Bacterial small subunit ribosomal RNA
Source: RNAcentral
UACUGAGUGGCAGACGGGUGAGUAACAUGUGGGAAUCUGCCUUGUGGUUCAGGACAACAUUGGGAAACCGAUGCUAAUACUGGAUAAGCCCUUACGGGGAAAGUUUUAAUGCCAUAAGAUGAGCCCGCAUUUGAUUAGUUAGUUGGUGAGGUAAUGGCUCACCAAGACAAUGAUUAAUAGCUGAUCUGAGAGGAUGAUCAGCCACACUGGGACUGAGACACGGCCCAGACUCCUACGGGAGGCAGCAGUGGGGAAUCUUGCACAAUGGAGGAAACUCUGAUGCAGCGAUGCCGCGUGAGUGAAGAAGGCCUUUGGGUUGUAAAGCUCUUUUGUAGGGGAAGAUAAUGACUGUACCCUAAGAAUAAGGUCCGGCUAACUUCGUGCCAGCAGCCGCGGUAAUACGAAGGGACCUAGCGUAGUUCGGAAUUACUGGGCGUAAAGCGCGCGUAGGCCGUUGAGUUAGUUAAUUGUGAAAUCCCAAAGCUUAACUUUGGAACUGCAAU